AGCAGCCGCGGUAAUUCCAGCUCCAAUAGCGUAUAUUAAAGUUGUUGCAGUUAAAAAGCUCGUAGUUGAAUUUCGGGGUUAGCAAGUUGGUCGUGCCUUUGGUAUGCACUGGCUUUGCUGAUUCCUCCUUCUUGAAGAACUGUGAUGCUAUUAAUUUGGUGUUGCAGGGAAACAGGACUGUUACUUUGAAAAAAUUAGAGUGUUUAAAGCAGGCUAACGCUUGAAUACAUUAGCAUGGAAUAAUGAAAUAGGACGUUUGAUCCUAUUUUGUUGGUUUCUAGGAUUGACGUAAUGAUUAAUAGGGAUAGUUGGGGGCAUUAGUAUUCAAUUGUCAGAGGUGAAAUUCUUGGAUUUAUUGAAGACUAACUACUGCGAAAGCAUUUGCCAAGGAUGUUUUCAUUAAUCAAGAACGAAAGUUAGGGGAUCGAAGACGAUCAGAUACCGUCGUAGUCUUAACCAUAAACUAUGCCGACUAGGGAUCGGAUGAUGUUAAUUUAUAAUGA
RNAcentral lists this ribosomal RNA (503 nucleotides) under uncultured Glomus. RNAcentral's name for it is "SSU rRNA". It matches the Rfam family "Eukaryotic small subunit ribosomal RNA", at positions 569 to 1074 of the family's 1831-position model. The record is from RNAcentral. Lineage: Eukaryota; Fungi; Glomeromycota; Glomeromycetes; Glomerales; Glomeraceae.